UUGGACCUGAUAUCAGGCAAGAUAGCCAGCUGACUAGCAC
RNAcentral lists this ribosomal RNA (40 nucleotides) under Phytophthora capsici. RNAcentral's name for it is "partial 28S ribosomal RNA". Lineage: Eukaryota; Oomycota; Peronosporomycetes; Peronosporales; Peronosporaceae. The record is from RNAcentral.